ACUCACCAGGUCAGGACACGGUAAGGAUUGACGGACUGAAGGCUCUUUCUCGAUUCCGUGGAAAGUGGUGCAUGGCCGUUUUUGGUUGGUGGAUCGAUCCGUCUGGUUAAUUCCGUUAACGAACGAGACCUCGGCACUCCGAAUAGCGCGGCGGACGUCGCGGCCUCCGGGCCGUCUUCCGCACGAGCUUCUUAGAGGGACCGUCCCCCGCCGGGGAAGGAGGUGCGAGGCAACGACAGGUCUGUGAUGCCCUUAGAUGUUCUGGGCCGCACGCGCAUUACACUGACGCGUCCAACGGGUGACUCCCGACCCGAAGGGGCCGGGGAAUCCGCAAGGCGCGUCGUGAUGGGGAUUGAACGUUGCAAUUGUUGUUCACGAACGAGGAAUUCCUAGUAGGCGCGGGUCAUCAACCCGCGCCGAUUACGUCCCCUGCCCUUUGUACACACCGC
Molecule: ribosomal RNA, 449 nt
Filed under: uncultured eukaryote
Lineage: Eukaryota
Description: bacterial SSU rRNA
Rfam family: Eukaryotic small subunit ribosomal RNA
Source: RNAcentral